RNAcentral lists this unclassified non-coding RNA (376 nucleotides) under uncultured Actinomycetes bacterium. RNAcentral describes it as "uncultured actinobacterium contains 16S-23S intergenic spacer region". The record is from RNAcentral. Lineage: Bacteria; Bacillati; Actinomycetota; Actinomycetes.
UCCGGUUUGUCACCGGCAGUCUCCCUAGAGUUCCCGGCCGAACCGCUGGCAACUAGGGAUAGGGGUUGCGCUCGUUGCGGGACUUAACCCAACAUCUCACGACACGAGCUGACGACAACCAUGCACCACCUGUGCAGGGCCCCGAAGGACACCGUAUCUCUACGGCUUUUCCCUGCAUGUCAAGCCCUGGUAAGGUUCUUCGCGUUGCAUCGAAUUAAGCCACAUGCUCCACCGCUUGUGCGGGCCCCCGCCAAUUCCUUUGAGUUUCAGCCUUGCGGCCGUACUCCCCAGGCGGGGCACUUAAUGCGUUAGCUACGGCACGGAACCCGUUGAUAAGGUCCCACACCUAGUGCCCAACGUUUACGGCGUGGACUAC